UGUUUUGUUCUGCUCUAGUUGU
Molecule: non-coding RNA, 22 nt
Filed under: Mus musculus (house mouse)
Lineage: Eukaryota; Metazoa; Chordata; Mammalia; Rodentia; Muridae
Source: RNAcentral